GCUCAGGACGANNNCUGGCGGCAUGCCUAAUACAUGCAAGUCGAACGAGCUUCCGUUGAAUGACGUGCUUGCACUGAUUUCAACAAUGAAGCGAGUGGCGAACUGGUGAGUAACACGUGGGAAAUCUGCCCAGAAGCAGGGGAUAACACUUGGAAACAGGUGCUAAUACCGUAUAACAACAAAAUCCGCAUGGAUUUUGUUUGAAAGGUGGCUUCGGCUAUCACUUCUGGAUGAUCCCGCGGCGUAUUAGUUAGUUGGUGAGGUAAAGGCCCACCNAGACGAUGAUACGUAGCCGACCUGAGAGGGNNNNNGNCCACNUUGGGACUGAGACNCGGCCCNNNCUCNUACGGGAGGC
This 355-nucleotide ribosomal RNA is filed under the name Levilactobacillus brevis. RNAcentral describes it as "partial 16S ribosomal RNA". It matches the Rfam family "Bacterial small subunit ribosomal RNA", at positions 22 to 349 of the family's 1533-position model. The record is from RNAcentral. Lineage: Bacteria; Bacillati; Bacillota; Bacilli; Lactobacillales; Lactobacillaceae.